CUUUACUGUAGCUUCGCAUUGGACUUUGACGGGACUUGUGUAGGAUAGGUGGGAGGCUGUGAGGCGUGGUCGCCAGAUCGCGCGGAGCCAACCUUGAAAUACCACCCUGGUGUCGUUGAGGUUCUAACCUUGGUCCGUGAAUCCGGAUCGGGGACCGUGCAUGGCAGGCAGUUUGACUGGGGCGGUCUCCUCCCAAAGAGUAACGGAGGAGUACGAAGGUCUUCUAAGCACGGUCGGACAUCGUGCUCAUAGUGCAAUGGCAAAAGAAGGCUUGACUGCGAGUCCAACAAGACGAGCAGGUGCGAAAGCAGGUCAUAGUGAUCCGGUGGUUCUGUAUGGAAGGGCCAUCGCUCAACGGAUAAAAGGUA
This 368-nucleotide ribosomal RNA is filed under the name uncultured organism. RNAcentral's name for it is "bacterial LSU rRNA". It matches the Rfam family "Bacterial large subunit ribosomal RNA", at positions 2099 to 2465 of the family's 2925-position model. The record is from RNAcentral.